UACGUAGGGGGCAAGCGUUGUCCGGAUUUAUUGGGCGUAAAGAGCGUGUAGGCGGCCUGACAGGUCUGCUGUGAAAACUCGAGGCUCAACCUCGAGAUGUCGGCGGAAACCGUCUGGCUAGAGUCCGGAAGAGGAGAGUGGAAUUCCUGGUGUAGCGGUGAAAUGCGCAGAUAUCAGGAAGAACACCUAUGGCGAAGGCGGGUCUCUGGGCCGAUACUGACGCUGAGGAGCGAAAGCGUGGGGAGCGAACAGG
This 253-nucleotide ribosomal RNA is filed under the name uncultured bacterium. RNAcentral describes it as "partial 16S ribosomal RNA". It matches the Rfam family "Bacterial small subunit ribosomal RNA", at positions 524 to 776 of the family's 1533-position model. The record is from RNAcentral.